RNAcentral lists this ribosomal RNA (353 nucleotides) under Rhodococcus jostii. RNAcentral's name for it is "bacterial SSU rRNA". It matches the Rfam family "Bacterial small subunit ribosomal RNA", at positions 1188 to 1533 of the family's 1533-position model. Lineage: Bacteria; Bacillati; Actinomycetota; Actinomycetes; Mycobacteriales; Nocardiaceae. The record is from RNAcentral.
GGGAAUUAUGCCCCCUUAUGUCAGGGCUUCACACAUGCUAAAUGGCCAGUACAGAGGGCUGCGAGACCGUGAGGUGGAGCGAAUCCCUUAAAGCUGGUCUCAGUUCGGAUCGGGGUCUGCAACUCGACCCCGUGAAGUCGGAGUCGCUAGUAAUCGCAGAUCAGCAACGCUGCGGUGAAUACGUUCCCGGGCCUUGUACACACCGCCCGUCACGUCAUGAAAGUCGGUAACACCCGAAGCCGGUGGCUUAACCCCUUGUGGGAGGGAGCCGUCGAAGGUGGGAUCGGCGAUUGGGACGAAGUCGUAACAAGGUAGCCGUACCGGAAGGUGCGGUUGGAUCACUAUCCUACAGG